Molecule: transfer RNA, 60 nt
Filed under: Thulinius sp. DVL-2010
Lineage: Eukaryota; Metazoa; Tardigrada; Eutardigrada; Parachela; Doryphoribiidae
Description: tRNA-His
Source: RNAcentral
GUCUAAAUAGUUUAAAAAAAAUAAAGAAUUGUGGUUUCUUAGUUGAGAGUUUUUUAGACA